UACGUAGGGUGCAAGCGUUGUCCGGAAUUAUUGGGCGUAAAGAGCUCGUAGGCGGUUUGUCGCGUCGGCUGUGAAAACCCGGGGCUCAACCCCGGGCCUGCAUUCGAUACGGGCAGACUAGAGUUCGGUAGGGGAGUCUGGAAUUCCUGGUGUAGCGGUGAAAUGCGCAGAUAUCAGGAGGAACACCGGUGGCGAAGGCGGGACUCUGGGCCGAUACUGACGCUGAGGAGCGAAAGCGUGGGGAGCAAACAGG
This 253-nucleotide ribosomal RNA is filed under the name uncultured bacterium. RNAcentral describes it as "partial 16S ribosomal RNA". It matches the Rfam family "Bacterial small subunit ribosomal RNA", at positions 524 to 776 of the family's 1533-position model. The record is from RNAcentral.